Phytophthora infestans T30-4 is the source of this 76-nucleotide ribosomal RNA. The record is from RefSeq and is a predicted model, not a curated record. Lineage: Eukaryota; Oomycota; Peronosporomycetes; Peronosporales; Peronosporaceae.
GGGCUUACGCUUGCGUAUGUCUGUUAUAUCUUGGUAGACGAGUAGUCGCGGCUGGGACUGAGGUGCCUACACCGUG